UACAGAGGUCCCAAGCGUUGUUCGGAUUCACUGGGCGUAAAGGGUGCGUAGGCGGUCGGGUAAGUCUGAUGUGAAAUCUCACAGCUCAACUGUGAAACUGCAUUGGAUACUAUUCGGCUUGAGGUCUGGAGAGGAGACUGGAAUUUACGGUGUAGCAGUGAAAUGCGUAGAUAUCGGAAAGAACACCAACGGCGAAAGCACUCUGCUGGGCCGACACUGACACUGAGAGACGAAAGCUAGGGGAGCGAAUGGG
Molecule: ribosomal RNA, 253 nt
Filed under: uncultured bacterium
Lineage: Bacteria
Description: partial 16S ribosomal RNA
Rfam family: Bacterial small subunit ribosomal RNA
Source: RNAcentral